CCUACGGGUGGCAGCAGUGGGGAAUAUUGGGCAAUGGGCGCAAGCCUGACCCAGCAACGCCGCGUGAAGGAAGAAGGCUUUCGGGUUGUAAACUUCUUUUAUCAGGGACGAAGCAAGUAACGGUACCUGAUGCAUAAGCCACGGCUAAAUACGUGCCAGCAGCCGCGGUAAUACGUAGGUGGCAAGCGUUAUCCGGAUUUACUGGGGGUAAAGGUCGUGUAGGCGGGAGUGCAAGUCAGAUGUGAAAACGAUGGGCUCAACCCAUAGCCUGCAUUUGAAACUGUACUUCUUGAGUGCUGGAGAGGCAAUCGGAAGUCCGGGUGGAGCGGUGAAAUGCGUAGAUAUGCGGAGGAACACCAGUGGCGAAGGCGGAUUGCUGGACAGUAACUGACGCUGAGGCGCGAAAGCGUGGGGAGCAAACAGGAUUAGAUACCCUGGUAGUC
Molecule: ribosomal RNA, 443 nt
Filed under: uncultured bacterium
Lineage: Bacteria
Description: partial 16S ribosomal RNA
Rfam family: Bacterial small subunit ribosomal RNA
Source: RNAcentral